This 304-nucleotide unclassified non-coding RNA is filed under the name Mycobacterium tuberculosis variant microti. RNAcentral describes it as "partial tmRNA". The record is from RNAcentral. Lineage: Bacteria; Bacillati; Actinomycetota; Actinomycetes; Mycobacteriales; Mycobacteriaceae.
CGAAUCAAGGGAAGCGUGCCGGUGCAGGCAAGAGACCACCGUAAGCGUCGUUGCGACCAAAUAAGCGCCGAUUCACAUCAGCGCGACUACGCUCUCGCUGCCUAAGCGACGGCUAGUCUGUCAGACCGGGAACGCCCUCGGCCCGGACCCUGGCAUCAGCUAGAGGGAUCCACCGAUGAGUCCGGUCGCGGGACUCCUCGGGACAACCACAGCGACUGGGAUCGUCAUCUCGGCUAGUUCGCGUGACCGGGAGAUCCGAGCAGAGCAUAGCGAACUGCGCACGGAGAAGCCUUGAGGGAAUGCC